UGAAAGUUUUUAACACUAUUUGUGGAUAUACUAAGCUGAAUAAUUUAAGGUAAAUAAACUAGUAUUUCUCCAGACGACGUCUUUAAAAAUAAUGUGGCGUUUUAUGUCGUGUGUGGCGUAUACUAGACUCCACAGGCUGUCGUGAUAAAAUGAUGCAACAGCCACAGAGACGGAGAAUAGCCCCGCUGGUUGCCAUGGCUCCCAGCAGCAAUCCAUCUCAGUUCGUGUGCUUGUGUGGACUAAAGGGAAUAAAAAAAAAAAAAAACAAGUACUCUGAUGCAGGGGUGAGGAGCUUGCCCUCUUCUUAGGAAAGUUUUGGUCUCCAGCUGCUUUCUGACCGUUAUACCCCUCUCUCCUCUGGUAA
Long non-coding RNA from Epinephelus lanceolatus (giant grouper), 364 nucleotides. RefSeq lists it as uncharacterized. The record is from RefSeq and is a predicted model, not a curated record. NCBI's taxonomy places the organism in Eukaryota, Metazoa, Chordata, Actinopteri, Perciformes, Serranidae.